ACUGCCAUCUCCAUCCUCUAACCCAGCCCUACCACACACAGCCAUACUGCCAUCUCCAUCCUCUAACCCAGCCCUACCACACACAGCCAUACUACCAUCUCCAAGCAAAUGCCUAAUGCCCAGACCAAAACAUCCCUUCCCUAUAUGAAGACACUGUAACAGCAGUGUCGUUCCAUCCUGGCAGUCACCAUCACAAUCACCUCCUCGAUGGGUAAGAAUAUAACUGCUGUGCCAUAAUCAUCCAGCCUGAUGUAUUGAUGGACUCAUUAAAACUCUCUUUAAUGCCAAAUGGCCAUUGCACUCCACUUAAUGACAAUGAGGUGUGUGUGUGUGUGUGUGUGUGUGUGUGUGUGUGUGUGUGUGAGAGACGGAGAGAAAUAAAGAAAGAAAGAGAGAUAGAGAGAGUGUGUUAUAUUAGUAUGAGCGAUAGUGUCACCAGUCAAUCCCUGACACAUUCCCCUGAUCAUCCACCAGUCAAUCCCUGACACAUUCCCCUGAUCAUCCACCAGUCAAUCCCUGACACAUUCCCCUGAUCAUCCACCAGUCAAUCCCUGACACAUUCCCCUGAUAAUCCACCAGUCAAUCCCUGACACAUUCCCCUGAUAAUCCACCAGUCAAUCCCUGACACAUUCCCCUGAUAAUCCACCAGUCAAUCCCUGACACAUUCCCCUGAUAAUCCACCAGUCAAUCCCUGACACAUUCCCCUGAUAAUCCACCAGUCAAUCUCUGACACAUUCCCCUGAUAAUCCACCAGUCAAUCCCUGACACAUUCCCCUGAUAAUCCACCAGUCAAUCCCUGACACAUUCCCCUGAUCAUCCACCAGUCAUAACAAAUAUACAGGAAGUUAACAAAUCAAUCUGAGCUGGCAAAAAAAUACAAUACAGUCCAACACACACUGCUCUCUAGUGGACAAACAAUACACCUGCAUGCAACAAUAGUUCUACCUGCCUCUUCACAAGACAUCUGAAUAAGCUAAUGGAUUGCUAUUGGAAGUCUGUCAAAUGUCCAUUUAAUAAGACAAAUGGAUGUUCAGAUGCUAUAAUGACGGCCAUUUUAUGUAAUUAUCUGACAGCACAUUAGAGGAGCUGGCCGGAUGUCUCAGCUCAGUCUCUUGGUUCUCCACUACCACACCCAGGGGACACAUCACCCAUCUGUGGCUGACUGAGGGUGAGGGGAGCUCGGCCAUGG
This 1189-nucleotide long non-coding RNA is filed under the name Salmo salar (Atlantic salmon). RNAcentral's name for it is "lncRNA (ENSSSAG00000114581.1)". Lineage: Eukaryota; Metazoa; Chordata; Actinopteri; Salmoniformes; Salmonidae. The record is from RNAcentral.